Molecule: ribosomal RNA, 500 nt
Filed under: uncultured bacterium
Lineage: Bacteria
Description: partial 16S ribosomal RNA
Rfam family: Bacterial small subunit ribosomal RNA
Source: RNAcentral
AUUGAACGCUGGCGGAAUGCUUUACACACGCAAGUCGAACGGCAGCACGGGGGCAACCCUGGUGGCGAGUGGCGAACGGGUGAGUAAUACAUCGGAACGUGCCCAGUCGUGGGGGAUAACGUAGCGAAAGUUACGCUAAUACCGCAUACGAUCUACGGAUGAAAGCGGGGGACCGUAAGGCCUCGCGCGAUUGGAGCGGCCGAUGUCAGAUUAGGUAGUUGGUGAGGUAAAGGCUAACCAAGCCGACGAUCUGUAGCUGGUCUGAGAGGACGACCAGCCACACUGGGACUGAGACACGGCCCAGACUCCUACGGGAGGCAGCAGUGGGGAAUUUUGGACAAUGGGCGCAAGCCUGAUCCAGCCAUUCCGCGUGCAGGACGAAGGCCUUCGGGUUGUAAACUGCUUUUGUACGGAACGAAAAGGCUCUGGUUAAUACCUGGGGCUCAUGACGGUACCGUAAGAAUAAGCACCGGCUAACUACGUGCCAGCCGCCGCAGUAA